This 374-nucleotide ribosomal RNA is filed under the name uncultured organism. RNAcentral describes it as "partial 16S ribosomal RNA". It matches the Rfam family "Bacterial small subunit ribosomal RNA", at positions 526 to 896 of the family's 1533-position model. The record is from RNAcentral.
GAGGGGGUGCAAACGUUAUUCGGAUUUACUGGGUGUAAAGGGUGUGUAGACGGGUUGUUAAGUUCGUUGUUAAAUCUUCCGGGCUAACCGGGAAGCUCGCGAUGGAAACUGGCAGUCUUGAGGAUGGAAGAGAGAAGUGGAAUUCUCGGAGUAGCGGUAAAAUGCGUAGAUCUCGAGAGGAACACCGAUGGCGAAGGCAGCUUCUUGGUCCAUUCCUGACGUUGAGACACGAAAGCGUGGGGAGCAAACAGGAUUAGAUACCCUGGUAGUCCACGCUGUAAACGAUGAUCACUAGAUGUUGGCCCUGUUUUGCAGGGUUAGUAUCGAAGCUAACGCGUUAAGUGAUCCACCUGGGAACUACGAUCGCAAGAUUA